GGUGAGGAAAUAUUGGGCGGGCAAGGAGGCAUGGUUGAGGCAUAGGAAUCCUGAAUUAAUAGUGGUGAUUCGAGCUCAGCCAUGUGCUUCUUGUCAGUUAAAAAACCACUUCAACUUUAAGGGACAUGGGCAGCUAUGAGGAGGGUUUAUUUUCUUUAACUGUUUUCCAGAACCACUUGGUUAGACCAACAGAAGUGGAGUAACUGCCAGAUCACAGACGAACCAGGGGCUGGACCUGUUUGUUUUUUAUUCCUGUUUUCUUUAUGGGGGUGUUUUGUUAACAAUACCACUGAAAAUAUCAAAGGUCCAAGUGUCCUUGACUGAGGGGUUCAAGCUGAGUCUUCCAUUUUAUCUCUAUGGUUCAGUGUCGUGUUGGUAUAAAGGAAAUGAAAAUUCUCCAACUGUUUCCCGGACCAGUCAAGUCAGUAACUGCAAGAUCUCAUGCUUGCUUUGUACAGUGGAAUGAAGUGACCAAUAAAUGUAUUUGGAUUUACCUGCCAAUAAUUCUGUAUUUUUGUUCCUUUCUAUGUAGGAUUCAAUGACUGGUAUUGUGUGCUAAAUUUUGUAAGGGAAAAAAGACCAAACAUACAUUUAUUCUGUGUACAAUGUGUUUUUCCUGUAUUUUGUAGUUAUACUUAAUGCAGUUCUCCUUUCCGCCACUUGGCGAGUCUUCGUAGACCAGUCAAAGCAGGUAGCGAAUGGAGCAGUCUGUUCCAUUGUGGUGAGACAAACCCAUUAACCAAGUGUAGCUAUUACAAUCACCUUUUGUUUUGGCUAUGUUUCUCAAGUGUUAUAAUUAAUUUAUUGAAAGCAUCAAAUGUUAUUUUUGUCCAUACUGAUUUUGGUGGUAUGCUUGAUUUUUUUUUUCACAUUUUGUCAGCAGGUGGUUAGCUUUGGUGUUACUCUAUGUAUGUGUGUGUGUGUGGGGGGGCGGCGGCAUCUUUACAUGUUGACCAUGUAAAGAUCUCCAUCACUCCCUCUGUCUCUCAGUGUGGGAAUGUUCUUUGAGUCAAUAUGGUUACCUCAGGUUUUUGUGGUGCUGUCCAUUUUAAAACUGCAAUUAGUGUUAAAAAAAAAGGCCUCUGGUCUCAACCAUAGGUUCCAUCUUAACAAAAGCACUCCAGAGUUCUAAUCAUGUUCUGACUCAAGACUUUCAGUCCUCCAACCACAACCGGUUUUAUGAAUAUUUACUCUCACCAGGCCUCUAAUAAAUAAUUAUUGUGUGCAAGUACAGUUGAAGUCGGAAGUUUACAUACACUUUAGCUAACUACAUUUAAACGCAGUUUUUCACAAUUCUUGACAUUUAAUCCAAGUAAAAAUUCCUUGUCUUAGGUCAGUUAGGAUCACCACUUUAUUUUAAUGUGAAAUGUCAGAAUAAUAGUAGAGUGAUUUAUUCAGAUUUGUUUUCUUUCAUCACAUUCCCAGUGGGUCAGAGGUUUACAUACACUCAAUUAGUAUUUGGUAGCAUUGCCUUUAAAUCUAACUUGGGUCAAAUGUUUCUGGUUGCCUUCCACAAGCUUCCCACAAUAAGUUGGGUGAAUUUUGGCCCAUUCCUCCUGACAGAGCUGGUGUAACACUGAGUCAGGUUUGCAGGCCUCCUUGCUCACACACUUUUUCAGUUCUGCCCACAAAUUUUCUAUAGGCCUGAGGUCAGGGCUUUGUGAUGGCCACUCCAAUACCUUGACUUAUUUGUCCUUAAGCCAUUUUGCCACAACUUUGGAAGUAUGCUUGGGGUCAUUGUCCGUUUUGAAGACCCAUUUGCGACCAAGCUUUAACUUCCUGACUGUCUUGAGACGUUGCUUCAAUAUUUUCAGUUUUCCCUCAUGAUGCCAUCUAUUUUGUGAAGUGCACCAGUCCUUCCUGCACCAAAGCAACUCACAACAUGAUGCUGCCACUCCCGUGCUUCACGUUUGGGAUGGUGUUCUUUGGCUUGCAAGCCUCCCCCUUUUUCCUCCAAACAUAAUGGUCAUUAUAGCCAAACAGUUCUCUUUUUUUUUUUUUUUUUUUUUUGUUUCAUCAGACCAAAGGACAUUUCUCCAGUUUCUCCCCAUGUGCAGUUGUAAACCGUAGUCUGGCUUUUUUAUGGCGGUUUUGGAGCAGUGGCUUCAUCCUUGCUGAGCGGUUUUGCAAUAGCAUUGCUCAACCAUAUGUCAUAACAUGAUGCCAUAUGCUGGUUAAAUGUUUUGUCAGUCCCCCUUAACUACAGGCUUAUUGAACUUCUAUUUCAGUCUAUGCUGAUAGAUGGUGACUCAUUUACUAAUCUCAUUUAACCCAAAACUAAAAUCUUGCAUAAAUGGUACCGUAGUUCUGACCAAAUGAUGUUUAUAUAGUAGAUGUCUGUUCAUGAGAUGACUAACUUCAGCCCUACAGCCACUCAUGUGUCUUUUGGGUAUAAAAGGCACACUGGAUACUUGUUUGUAAGAUCUUUUUAUUGGUAUUAAAGCAAUGUACAUUUAACAAAAACAUCAAUGCAACAAGAGUUGGUCCCAUAUUUCAUGAGCUGAAAUACAAGAUCCCAUAAAUUGUCCAUAC
Molecule: long non-coding RNA, 2532 nt
Organism: Oncorhynchus tshawytscha (Chinook salmon)
Lineage: Eukaryota; Metazoa; Chordata; Actinopteri; Salmoniformes; Salmonidae
Source: Ensembl